Molecule: long non-coding RNA, 674 nt
Filed under: Helianthus annuus (common sunflower)
Lineage: Eukaryota; Viridiplantae; Streptophyta; Magnoliopsida; Asterales; Asteraceae
Source: RNAcentral
ACAAAUCCAUUUCUUCUUCUCCUUUGAAACUCACGACCGAACACACACUUACACACAUUCGAAGAUCGUGGCCAUUUCAAGUUAGUUUCAAGUCGAUUUAAAAAUUUAAAGGUGAUUCCAUGGUGAUUGCAAAGAGGAAGAAGCUUGUUUUCAUCAAGAAUCUCAUCAUAAAACUCACUUUUGUUCUUGAAAGGUUAGGGUUGCCCAUGUCUCCUAUAUAAGGAGGUCUCCACGUCCUCAUUAGGGCAUGAGAUAUGAGGCAAACACACUUUUUGUAGCUGGAAAUAGAGUAUUCUUGCUCUACCGGCCGUCUCUACAUCUCCACGUUUCUCUCUUCUUGUUUGCAGGUCUAGGAUGAGGCGGAGAAGACGAGGUGUUGCCAUUCAUCACCGCACGAUUAGAUUCUAUCCUGCAAAAUUAGAUUAUGAUGAAUAAAAGAUUGACAAAACUAAUACACAAAGCAUGGUUCGAGUAAAGAUCAAGACAUGAGCUUAGUCUAAUAUCGCUUGUUAGGAUCAUGUAUAAGACUUGUAAGAGCUCAAAUAAUCAAAAGCACAACGAAAAACUUCAAUAACUUUGAUUAAUAAAAACAACGGAUGUGUUCAACAGCUAGGGUUGAUAUGGGUUUUGUGUAAUGAUCGGUGCAUUUUAGGUACACAUUAUUCGAUAUUAAU